RNAcentral lists this ribosomal RNA (2233 nucleotides) under human gut metagenome. RNAcentral describes it as "bacterial LSU rRNA". It matches the Rfam family "Bacterial large subunit ribosomal RNA", at positions 14 to 2244 of the family's 2925-position model. The record is from RNAcentral.
AGGGCGCAUGGCGAAUGCCUUGGCACUAGAAGCUGAAGAAGGACGUGACGAACAACGAUAUGCUUUGGGGAGCAGUAAGUACGCUUUGAUCCAGAGAUUUCCGAAUGGGGGAACCCAGCAGUAGUAAUAGACUGUUAUCCUGACGUGAACACAUAGCGUCAGAGAAAGCAACCCGGCGAACUGAAACAUCUUAGUAACCGGAGGAAGAGAAAGAAAAAUCGAUUCCCUUAGUAGCGGCGAGCGAAGAGGGAAGAGCCCAAACCAGCUCUUCGGAGUUGGGGUAGUAGGACCUCUAUAUAAGAGUAAGAAAUUUUUGAUAUAGUUGAAUCAGAUGGAAAGUUGAACCAAAGAAGGUGAAAGUCCUGUAAACGAAAUAUUAAAAACUCUUUGAGGAAUCCUGAGUAGGGCGGGGCACGAGAAACCCUGUCUGAAUCCACGGGGACCAUCCCGUAAGGCUAAAUACUCUCUAGUGACCGAUAGUGAACAAGUACCGAGAGGGAAAGGUGAAAAGAACCCCGGGAGGGGAGUGAAAUAGAAUACUGAAACCAUGUGCUUACAAAAAGUCAAAGCCCGUUAAUGGGUGAUGGCGUGCCUUUUGCAGAAUGAACCGGCGAGUUAAUGUUGCAUGCAAGGUUAAGUUGAAGAGACGGAGCCGAAGCGAAAGCGAGUCUUAAUAGGGCGAAUAAGUAUGCAGUAUUAGACCCGAAACCGAGUGAUCUAGCCAUGAGCAGGUUGAAGUUUUGGUAAUACAGAAUGGAGGACCGAACCGACGUACCCGGAAACGUGCGCGGAUGACUUGUGGCUAGCGGUGAAAUUCCAAACGAACUCGGAUAUAGCUGGUUCUCCCCGAAAUAGGUUUAGGCCUAGCCUUGAGGUUAAGUACUAUGGAGGUAGAGCACUGAAUAUACAAUGGCCCCAUCUAGGGGUACUGAGUGUAAUCAAACUCCGAAUGCCAUAGAAAACAUACUCAGGAGUCAGCGUGUGGGUGAUAACGUCCAUACGCGAAAGGAAAAGAGUCCAAGAUCGCCGAUUAAGGUCCCAAAAUUUGUACUAAGUGGGAAAGGAUGUGGAGUUGUCAAAACAGCUAGGAGGUUGGCUUAGAAGCAGCCAUCCUUUAAAGAGUGCGUAAUAGCUCACUAGUCGAGUGACACUGCGCCGAAGAUGUACCGGGGCUAAGUACAAUACCGAAAUCGCGGAUUCAUGCGAAUGCAUGAGUGGUAGGGGAGCGUUCCAAGGGCGUUGAAGGUUGACCGUGAGGACAACUGGAGCGCUUGGAAGUGAGAAUGCCGGUGUGAGUAGCGCAAGAUGGGUGAGAAUCCCAUCCACCGUUUGACUAAGGGUUUCUGGGGCAGGUUCGUCCUCCCAGAGUUAGUCGGGUCCUAAGACGAGGCCGAAAGGCGUAGCCGAUGGACAACAGGUUGAUAUUCCUGUACUACCUAUAUGACUGAUGGAGUGACGGAGAAGGCUAGGGAGAGCCAGUUAAUGGAUUCUGGUCUAAGCACAAAGGUUUACAAUUAGGGAAAUCCGGUUGUAGGUAAGCUGAAGUGUGAUGGUGAAGCUACAUGUAGCGAAAUCUUCUGACGCCAAGCUUCCAAGAAAAGCUUCUAGGGCUAAUCAUAUAGGUACCCGUACCCAGAACCGACACAGGUGGUCAAGGAGAGUAUCCUAAGGUGAGCGAGAGAACCAUGGUUAAGGAACUCGGCAAAAUAACCCCGUAACUUCGGAAUAAGGGGUGGUCAUUUCGGUGACCGACACUAAAGACGCCCAGGCAACUGUUUACCAAAAACACAGGUUUCUGCCAAUUCGAAAGAAGAAGUAUAGGAGCUGACACCUGCCCAGUGCUGGAAGGUUAAGAGGAGUGCUUAGAUAGAUUGAAAAAUCGAUGAUUCGAAGGUACGAAUUGAAGCCCCAGUGAACGGCGGCCGUAACUAUAACGGUCCUAAGGUAGCGAAAUUCCUUGUCAGGUAAGUUCUGACCCGCACGAAAGGUGUAAUGAUCUGGGCACUGUCUCGACCAUGGACUCGGUGAAAUCUUAAUACCUGUGAAAAUGCAGGUUACCCGCAUCAGGACGGAAAGACCCCAUGGAGCUUUACUGUAGCUUGAUAUUGAAGUUUGGUAAGUUAUGUAGAGGAUAGGUGGGAGACUAAGAUACUGAGACGCCAGUCUCAGAGGAGUCAACCUUGGAAUACCACCCUUAGCUUAUUGAAUUUCUAACCUAGACCCAUAAACUGGG